Nomascus leucogenys (northern white-cheeked gibbon) is the source of this 125-nucleotide long non-coding RNA. RefSeq lists it as uncharacterized. The record is from RefSeq and is a predicted model, not a curated record. The transcript is spliced from 5 exons. NCBI's taxonomy places the organism in Eukaryota, Metazoa, Chordata, Mammalia, Primates, Hylobatidae.
GGCUGUAAUUAGGACGGAUCAGUCAUAGAGCGGUGUUUGAUAUUGGGAUAUGGCUGGGGGCUUUAUGUUAAUAAUUGUAGUAAUAAAGUUAAUGGCUCCUAAAAUAGAAUACCUGCCAAGUGAAG